AUUGAACGCUGGCGGCAUGCCUUACACAUGCAAGUCGAACGGUAACGGGCCUUCGGGUGCCGACGAGUGGCGAACGGGGGAGUAAUACAUCGGAACGUGCCCGAUCGUGGGGGAUAACGAGGCGAAAGCUUUGCUAAUACCGCAUACGAUCUACGGAUGAAAGCAGGGGACCGCAAGGCCUUGCGCGGUCGUAGCGGCCGAUGGCAGUUUAGGUAGUUGGUGGGAUAAAAGCUUACCAAGCCGACGAUCUGUAGCUGGUCUGAGAGGAUGAUCAGCCACACUGGGACUGAGACACGGCCCAGACUCCUACGGGAGGCAGCAGUGGGGAAUUUUGGACAAUGGGCGCAAGCCUGAUCCAGCCAUGCCGCGUGCAGGAUGAAGGCCUUCGGGUUGUAAAAUGCUUUUGUACGGAACGAAAAGCGUUCUUUUAAUACAGGAGGGUCAUGACGGUACCGUAAGAAUAAGCACCGGCUAACUACGUG
This 482-nucleotide ribosomal RNA is filed under the name uncultured bacterium. RNAcentral describes it as "partial 16S ribosomal RNA". It matches the Rfam family "Bacterial small subunit ribosomal RNA", at positions 30 to 507 of the family's 1533-position model. The record is from RNAcentral.